GUGAAUCAUCGAAUUUUUGAACGCAAAUUGCACUCUCUGCGGAUAGGAUGCGUGUUUGAGUGUCAGGCUAAAAAAAAUCAACAUAUUCGCUGUUUUUCGGUUACAUUCGUCGGAAAUUUGGUCAUCUUAAACGUUUGGUUUUUAAGCGUGGUAGAAUUUCCUUUACGGUUCCACGAACGUUUCUAAUAUUGACUUCUUACACAUUUAUGGUAAUCGAUCUUUAUUGGACGUGACC
RNAcentral lists this unclassified non-coding RNA (235 nucleotides) under Glomus sp. Its description in RNAcentral is "partial internal transcribed spacer 2". Lineage: Eukaryota; Fungi; Glomeromycota; Glomeromycetes; Glomerales; Glomeraceae. The record is from RNAcentral.